UACGUAGGUGGCAAGCGUUGUCCGGAAUUAUUGGGUUUAAAGGGUGCGUAGGCGGCUUUGUAAGUCAGUGGUGAAAUAUGGCAGCUCAACUGUCAGGGUGCCAUUGAUACUGCGGAGCUUGAGUACAGAUGAGGUAGGCGGAAUUGACGGUGUAGCGGUGAAAUGCUUAGAUAUCGUCAAGAACACCGAUAGCGAAGGCAGCUUACUGGGCUGUAACUGACGCUGAGGCACGAAAGUGUGGGGAUCAAACAGG
Molecule: ribosomal RNA, 253 nt
Filed under: uncultured bacterium
Lineage: Bacteria
Description: partial 16S ribosomal RNA
Rfam family: Bacterial small subunit ribosomal RNA
Source: RNAcentral